UUAUAUAAACUUACACAAAAGCCUUUUGAAAUUAUUGUUCCCCAUAAACAAAAACUAUAGGUCAAAAAUGCAAGUUAUUUAACCUCACUAAUAACCAAAGUAAGUUUAAAUUUUUCUCUACACCAUGUUGAUAAUGAUUAGAUAAUGAAGACAAUCCUGUUUUUACAGGGGAAUCAGCCUGUGGAAAUGCCCAGACAAGACAAUAUUUAACAUGCUCAAGGUGUGAAAGCAGAAAUAAAUCUCUUUAGAAGGCUCUUGCCAGUUUUGCAACCCAAGAAUGUUUUUCUCAAGGACAUGGGAUUCAUCUCUCUAUAGAAUGAGAUCAUCAAGACAGUGCACCUAUCUCCUAAUCUAUGUAGGACUGGAGCCUAAUUUUGUAGGUGGGAGCCUAAUUUUGAUGAGCAUCUUACUAUAAGUUGUAAAACUACCUCCUGUCAUGAAGAUAUGAGAAAAUUUACUUUAUCUUUGAGUAAGUCCAGUUACCAAGCACAGAUGACAUAUGGUCCUUCGCAUCCCAGCUAUUAAAAGCUCCUCCACCUUUUGUUUCAAUGGCUUUGAGUUCAGAUUGUGUUUUGAUCUCUCUAAUUUAUUGCUAUAGCCAUGAAUAAAGUCUUCCAUUCCUGUUUAA
Molecule: long non-coding RNA, 628 nt
Organism: Leopardus geoffroyi (Geoffroy's cat)
Lineage: Eukaryota; Metazoa; Chordata; Mammalia; Carnivora; Felidae
Exons: 2
Source: RefSeq, a predicted model, not a curated record